Long non-coding RNA from Physella acuta, 353 nucleotides. RefSeq lists it as uncharacterized. Lineage: Eukaryota; Metazoa; Mollusca; Gastropoda; Physidae. The record is from RefSeq and is a predicted model, not a curated record.
ACCAUCCAAACAACAACAGACGAGGAGAUGGCUGAAGCCGCCGCGGAUUUACAACAGUCAAAGGCACCUGCUGCCACCCCUAAACCUACAUUAACAGAAGUGUUAAACAGUUUACCUGCUGAAGACAGAACGUUUUUCUUGGAAUAUUUCGACACAUAUAACAGGCUGAGAAAUUUUGAUUAUCAGCUAUAAACAAGUAUAGCUUUCACCUGAAACAGUGUAUUUAACAGCUAGUUCAACAUUGUAGCUAAGGCAGGUCAAUUGAGUUCUGAUCACACCACAGAGACAACAUUCGAUGUACACAACCCACAAAUAUAUCUGGGGCAAGGAGAUAUCUUUUUAUGACUGAAUUU